UGAGUAAUACGUAUCCAACCUGCCGUCUACUCUUGGACAGCCUUCUGAAAGGAAGAUUAAUACAAGAUGGCAUCAUGAGUCCGCAUGUUCACAUGAUUAAAGGUAUUCCGGUAGACGAUGGGGAUGCGUUCCAUUAGAUAGUAGGCGGGGUAACGGCCCACCUAGUCUUCGAUGGAUAGGGGUUCUGAGAGGAAGGUCCCCCACAUUGGAACUGAGACACGGUCCAA
RNAcentral lists this ribosomal RNA (227 nucleotides) under uncultured bacterium. Its description in RNAcentral is "partial 16S ribosomal RNA". It matches the Rfam family "Bacterial small subunit ribosomal RNA", at positions 107 to 334 of the family's 1533-position model. The record is from RNAcentral.